AACGGCCGUACCAUGCUGAAUAUACCGGUUCUCGUUAGAUCACCGAAGUCAAGCAUCAUUGGGCGCGGUCAGUACUUGGGUGGGUGACCACCUGGGAACACCGCGUGC
Molecule: non-coding RNA, 108 nt
Organism: Caerostris darwini
Lineage: Eukaryota; Metazoa; Arthropoda; Arachnida; Araneae; Araneidae
Source: the annotation of a GenBank genome assembly